Molecule: ribosomal RNA, 304 nt
Filed under: uncultured bacterium
Lineage: Bacteria
Description: partial 16S ribosomal RNA
Rfam family: Bacterial small subunit ribosomal RNA
Source: RNAcentral
CAGCAGCAGCCGCGGUAAUACGAAGGGUGCAAGCGUUACUCGGAAUUACUGGGCGUAAAGCGUGCGUAGGUGGUGGUUUAAGUCCGUUGUGAAAGCCCUGGGCUCAACCUGGGAAUUGCAGUGGAUGCUGGGUCACUAGAGUGUGGUAGAGGAUAGUGGAAUUUCCGGUGUAGCAGUGAAAUGCGUAGAGAUCGGAAGGAACAUCUGUGGCGAAGGCGACUAUCUGGGCCAACACUGACACUGAGGCACGAAAGCGUGGGGAGCAAGCAGGAUUAGAUACCCCCGUAGUCCCUGUCUCUUAUAC